GCGCCGUUCCCAACGUCGGGUCGCCAUCUUUUGUUUCCCGAAGGAAGAAAACAAAGCGAGGAAAGUUUGCGGUAGGGAGCACGACCGUGGCUACCAAGACGGCUGACGGCGCAGUACCCGAGGCGUUUGGCGGGCCCGAUAGUAAACGAACAUAACGGGAUGAUCUGUGGACUGCCCACGAGUACGCACUCAGCAUUGAUGGCAGGCUCAUGGUUCAGAAGAUACCAGACGUCCCUACGGCAUGGGCUGCACUCUUCGCGAGUCACUAUUGCUUUAACAUCUGCUACGCUGAAGGCCUGUCAUCGACCCUCGAGUUCCUUCAGAGAGGUUUCCUGAGCAUGAACCCUGACCGUGGCACCAGAGCCAAGCGCUCCAAGUCGGAAGUGAACAAGAAAGUACUUAACCUGGUCAAGAAAAUAGCAGAGCUGGAGUGGAAUGUGUGAGGCUGUCGGUCAUCUUAUGUGGGAACGAGGCAUGCGACAUGGGGCUCGGGCUCAUUCAACGCAAGGUCUUGGCACCAGGAAGAUUUCAGCAGCCAUAAGCAAUGGCACUUGGGUCUAAAUUUGGUGAGUAUGAUAAUGAUCGAGCACCCAGCUGCUUGUGUGAA
Ixodes scapularis (black-legged tick) is the source of this 607-nucleotide RNA transcript. RefSeq lists it as uncharacterized. NCBI's taxonomy places the organism in Eukaryota, Metazoa, Arthropoda, Arachnida, Ixodida, Ixodidae. The record is from RefSeq and is a predicted model, not a curated record. The transcript has 4 exons.